Molecule: ribosomal RNA, 732 nt
Filed under: uncultured Staphylococcus sp.
Lineage: Bacteria; Bacillati; Bacillota; Bacilli; Caryophanales; Staphylococcaceae
Description: bacterial SSU rRNA
Rfam family: Bacterial small subunit ribosomal RNA
Source: RNAcentral
CAAGUCGAGCGAACGGACGAGAAGCUUGCUUCUCUGAUGUUAGCGGCGGACGGGUGAGUAACACGUGGAUAACCUACCUAUAAGACUGGGAUAACUUCGGGAAACCGGAGCUAAUACCGGAUAAUAUUUUGAACCGCAUGGUUCAAAAGUGAAAGACGGUCUUGCUGUCACUUAUAGAUGGAUCCGCGCUGCAUUAGCUAGUUGGUAAGGUAACGGCUUACCAAGGCAACGAUGCAUAGCCGACCUGAGAGGGUGAUCGGCCACACUGGAACUGAGACACGGUCCAGACUCCUACGGGAGGCAGCAGUAGGGAAUCUUCCGCAAUGGGCGAAAGCCUGACGGAGCAACGCCGCGUGAGUGAUGAAGGUCUUCGGAUCGUAAAACUCUGUUAUUAGGGAAGAACAUAUGUGUAAGUAACUGUGCACAUCUUGACGGUACCUAAUCAGAAAGCCACGGCUAACUACGUGCCAGCAGCCGCGGUAAUACGUAGGUGGCAAGCGUUAUCCGGAAUUAUUGGGCGUAAAGCGCGCGUAGGCGGUUUUUUAAGUCUGAUGUGAAAGCCCACGGCUCAACCGUGGAGGGCCAUUGGAAACUGGAAAACUUGAGUGCAGAAGAGGAAGUGGAAUUCCAUGUGUAGCGGUGAAAUGCGCAGAGAUAUGGAGGAACACCAGUGGCGAAGGCGACUUUCUGGUCUGUAACUGACGCUGAUGUGCGAAAGCGUGGGGAUCAAAC